UACGUAGGGUGCGAGCGUUAAUCGGAAUUACUGGGCGUAAAGGGUGCGCAGGUGGUUUUGUAAGUCAGAUGUGAAAUCCCCGGGCUUAACCUGGGAAUUGCGUUUGAAACUACAAGACUAGAGUGUGGCAGAGGGGGGUGGAAUUCCAUGUAUAGCAGUGAAAUGCGUAGAGAUAUGGAAGAACAUCGAUGGCGAAGGCAGCCCCCUGGGUUAACACUGACACUCAGGCACGAAAGCGUGGGGAGCAAACAGG
RNAcentral lists this ribosomal RNA (253 nucleotides) under uncultured bacterium. RNAcentral describes it as "partial 16S ribosomal RNA". It matches the Rfam family "Bacterial small subunit ribosomal RNA", at positions 524 to 776 of the family's 1533-position model. The record is from RNAcentral.